GGGUUGUGAGGUUAAGCGACUAAGCGUACACGGUGGAUGCCCUGGCAGUCAGAGGCGAUGAAGGGCGUGCUAAUCUGCGAUAAGCGCCGGUAAGGUGAUAUGAACCGUUAUAACCGGCGAUACCCGAAUGGGGAAACCCAGUGUGAUUCGUCACACUAUCAUUAACUGAAUCCAUAGGUUAA
Molecule: ribosomal RNA, 182 nt
Filed under: Salmonella enterica subsp. enterica serovar Virchow
Lineage: Bacteria; Pseudomonadati; Pseudomonadota; Gammaproteobacteria; Enterobacterales; Enterobacteriaceae
Description: partial 23S ribosomal RNA
Rfam family: Bacterial large subunit ribosomal RNA
Source: RNAcentral